AGUGAACGCUGGCGGUAGGCCUAACACAUGCAAGUCGAACGGCAGCACAGUAAGAGCUUGCUCUUACGGGUGGCGAGUGGCGGACGGGUGAGGAAUACAUCGGAAUCUACUUUUUCGUGGGGGAUAACGUAGGGAAACUUACGCUAAUACCGCAUACGACCUACGGGUGAAAGCAGGGGAUCUUCGGACCUUGCGCGAUUGAAUAAGCCGAUGUCGGAUUAGCUAGUUGGCGGGGUAAAGGCCCACCAAGGCGACGAUCCGUAGCUGGUCUAAGAGGAUGAUCAGCCACACUGGAACUGAGACACGGUCCAGACUCCUACGGGAGGCAGCAGUGGGGAAUAUUGGACAAUGGGCGCAAGCCUGAUCCAGCCAUACCGCGUGGGUGAAGAAGGCCUUCGGGUUGUAAAGCCCUUUUGUUGGGAAAGAAAAGCAGCAGGUUAAUACCCCGCUGUUCUGACGGUACCCAAAGAAUAAGCACCGGCUAACUUCGUG
RNAcentral lists this ribosomal RNA (492 nucleotides) under uncultured bacterium. RNAcentral's name for it is "partial 16S ribosomal RNA". It matches the Rfam family "Bacterial small subunit ribosomal RNA", at positions 29 to 507 of the family's 1533-position model. The record is from RNAcentral.